This 253-nucleotide ribosomal RNA is filed under the name uncultured bacterium. RNAcentral's name for it is "partial 16S ribosomal RNA". It matches the Rfam family "Bacterial small subunit ribosomal RNA", at positions 524 to 776 of the family's 1533-position model. The record is from RNAcentral.
UACGUAGGGGGCAAGCGUUGUCCGGAUUUAUUGGGCGUAAAGAGCGUGUAGGCGGCCAGGUAGGUCGGUUGUGAAAACUGGAGGCUCAACCUUCAGACGUCGACCGAAACCAUCUGGCUAGAGUCCGGGAGAGGAGAGUGGAAUUCCUGGUGUAGCGGUGAAAUGCGUAGAUAUCAGGAGGAACACCUGCGGUGUAGACGGCUUUCUGGACCAUUACUGACACUGAGACACGAAAGCGUGGGUAGCAAACAGG